Non-coding RNA from Pelobates cultripes (western spadefoot toad), 218 nucleotides. The record is from the annotation of a GenBank genome assembly. NCBI's taxonomy places the organism in Eukaryota, Metazoa, Chordata, Amphibia, Anura, Pelobatidae.
GUUGCUUUUAUUUUGUUGCUUGCUGCAAUACCUCUUGCUUCUAGUAGGUCUUUUAGUGUGGAUCUUUUUAGCUUAGCACUCUCCAUCCGUAUUCCAUUAGUCCCUGUUCCUUUGUGAGUCUGGAUCCCACCGCUGCCACCAAUGUAGCGGAGAGCUGCUCUUACACAGCUUAUCUCCACUUUAGAUCCCAGUAAGGCUCAGGAACAAGUAUUAUAAAU